UGGGGAAUCUUAGACAAUGGGGGAAACCCUGAUCUAGCCAUGCCGCGUGAGCGAUGAAGGCCUUAGGGUUGUAAAGCUCUUUCAGCUGGGAAGAUAAUGACGGUACCAGCAGAAGAAGCCCCGGCUAACUCCGUGCCAGCAGCCGCGGUAAUACGGAGGGGCUAGCGUUGUUCGGAAUUACUGGGCGUAAAGCGCACGUAGGCGGAUUAGUCAGUCAGAGGUGAAAUCCCAGGGCUCAACCCUGGAACUGCCUUUGAUACUGCUAGUCUUGAGGUCGAGAGAGGUGAGUGGAAUUCCGAGUGUAGAGGUGAAAUUCGUAGAUAUUCGGAGGAACACCAGUGGCGAAGGCGGCUCACUGGCUCGAUACUGACGCUGAGGUGCGAAAGCGUGGGGAGCAAAACAGGAUUAGAUACCCUGGUAGUCCACGCCGUAAACGAUGAAUGCCAGUCGUCGGGUUGCAUGCAAUUCGGUGACACACCUAACGGAUUAAGCAUUCCGCCUGGGGAGUACGGUCGCAAGAUUAAAACUUAAAGGAAUUGACGGGGUCAUAGCUGUUUCCUG
RNAcentral lists this ribosomal RNA (561 nucleotides) under uncultured bacterium. RNAcentral describes it as "partial 16S ribosomal RNA". It matches the Rfam family "Bacterial small subunit ribosomal RNA", at positions 355 to 1376 of the family's 1533-position model. The record is from RNAcentral.